GAUGAACGCUGGCGGCGUGCCUAAUACAUGCAAGUCGAGCGAACGGACGAGAAGCUUGCUUCUCUGAUGUUAGCGGCGGACGGGUGAGUAACACGUGGAUAACCUACCUAUAAGACUGGGAUAACUUCGGGAAACCGGAGCUAAUACCGGAUAAUAUUUUGAACCGCAUGGUUCAAAAGUGAAAGACGGUCUUGCUGUCACUUAUAGAUGGAUCCGCGCUGCAUUAGCUAGUUGGUAAGGUAACGGCUUACCAAGGCAACGAUGCAUAGCCGACCUGAGAGGGUGAUCGGCCACACUGGAACUGAGACACGGUCCAGACUCCUACGGGAGGCAGCAGUAGGGAAUCUUCCGCAAUGGGCGAAAGCCUGACGGAGCAACGCCGCGUGAGUGAUGAAGGUCUUCGGAUCGUAAAACUCUGUUAUUAGGGAAGAACAUAUGUGUAAGUAACUGUGCACAUCUUGACGGUACCUAAUCAGAAAGCCACGGCUAACUACGUGCCAGCAGCCGCGGUAAUACGUAGGUGGCAAGCGUUAUCCGGAAUUAUUGGGCGUAAAGCGCGCGUAGGCGGUUUUUUAGUCUGAUGUGAAAGCCCGCGGCUCAACCGUGGAGGGUCAUUGGAAACUGGAAAACUUGAGUGCAGAAGAGGAAAGUGGAAUUCCAUGUGUAGCGGUGAAAUGCGCAGAGAUAUGGAGGAACACCAGUGGCGAAGGCGACUUUCUGGUCUGUAACUGACGCUGAUGUGCGAAAGCGUGGGGAUCAAACAGGAUUAGAUACCCUGGUAGUCCACGCCGUAAACGAUGAGUGCUAAGUGUUAGGGGGUUUCCGCCCCUUAGUGCUGCAGCUAACGCAUUAAGCACUCCGCCUGGGGAGUACGACCGCAAGGUUGAAACUCAAAGGAAUUGACGGGGACCCGCACAAGCGGUGGAGCAUGUGGUUUAAUUCGAAGCAACGCGAAGAACCUUACCAAAUCUUGACAUCCUUUGACAACUCUAGAGAUAGAGCUUUCCCCUUCGGGGGACAAAGUGACAGGUGGUGCAUGGUUGUCGUCAGCUCGUGUCGUGAGAUGUUGGGUUAAGUCCCGCAACGAGCGCAACCCUUAAGCUUAGUUGCCAUCAUUAAGUUGGGCACUCUAAGUUGACUGCCGGUGACAAACCGGAGGAAGGUGGGGAUGACGUCAAAUCAUCAUGCCCCUUAUGAUUUGGGCUACACACGUGCUACAAUGGACAAUACAAAGGGCAGCGAAACCGUGAGGUCAAGCAAAUCCCAUAAAGUUGUUCUCAGUUCGGAUUGUAGUCUGCAACUCGACUACAUGAAGCUGGAAUCGCUAGUAAUCGUAGAUCAGCAUGCUACGGUGAAUACGUUCCCGGGUCU
Molecule: ribosomal RNA, 1371 nt
Filed under: uncultured bacterium
Lineage: Bacteria
Description: bacterial SSU rRNA
Rfam family: Bacterial small subunit ribosomal RNA
Source: RNAcentral